Molecule: ribosomal RNA, 465 nt
Filed under: Vreelandella stevensii
Lineage: Bacteria; Pseudomonadati; Pseudomonadota; Gammaproteobacteria; Oceanospirillales; Halomonadaceae
Description: partial 16S ribosomal RNA
Rfam family: Bacterial small subunit ribosomal RNA
Source: RNAcentral
CCUACGGGGGGCAGCAGUGGGGAAUAUUGGACAAUGGGCGAAAGCCUGAUCCAGCCAUGCCGCGUGUGUGAAGAAGGCCUUCGGGUUGUAAAGCACUUUCAGUGGGGAAGAAAGCCUUGGGGCUAAUACCCUCGAGGAAGGACAUCACCCACAGAAGAAGCACCGGCUAACUCCGUGCCAGCAGCCGCGGUAAUACGGAGGGUGCGAGCGUUAAUCGGAAUUACUGGGCGUAAAGCGCGCGUAGGCGGUCUGAUAAGCCGGUUGUGAAAGCCCCGGGCUCAACCUGGGAACGGCAUCCGGAACUGUCAGGCUAGAGUGCAGGAGAGGAAGGUAGAAUUCCCGGUGUAGCGGUGAAAUGCGUAGAGAUCGGGAGGGAUACCAGUGGCGAAGGCGGCCUUCUGGACUGACACUGACGCUGAGGUGCGAAAGCGUGGGUAGCAAACAGGAUUAGAUACCCCGGUAGUC